GGAUUAGAUACCCUGGUAGUCCACGCCGUAAACGAUGUCUACUAGCCGUUGGGAUCCUUGAGAUCUUAGUGGCGCAGCUAACGCACUAAGUAGACCGCCUGGGGAGUACGGUCGCAAGAUUAAAACUCAAAUGAAUUGACGGGGGCCCGCACAAGCGGUGGAGCAUGUGGUUUAAUUCGAUGCAACGCGAAGAACCUUACCUGGUCUUGACAUCCACAGAACUUUCCAGAGAUGGAUUGGUGCCUUCGGGAACUGUGAGACAGGUGCUGCAUGGCUGUCGUCAGCUCGUGCUG
Molecule: ribosomal RNA, 293 nt
Filed under: uncultured bacterium
Lineage: Bacteria
Description: partial 16S ribosomal RNA
Rfam family: Bacterial small subunit ribosomal RNA
Source: RNAcentral